Molecule: long non-coding RNA, 710 nt
Organism: Gorilla gorilla gorilla (western lowland gorilla)
Lineage: Eukaryota; Metazoa; Chordata; Mammalia; Primates; Hominidae
Exons: 3
Source: RefSeq, a predicted model, not a curated record
CUAUAGGUACCAGGCUGCCUAGGAAGCCAGGUGGUGCCUUUAAGAUCUCCAUGGAGAAACGCACAGCUCGACGCAGGAUCCGACGAAGAACCAGCCUAAAGGGGUUCAGAGCCCAGACAUGAAACCCCAGCGGCUCAUGCCCUUCCAGACUCACGGGGGACCUGACAUCCCAGGGAAGACGCCAUCAGAGAUGCAGACACUGAGUGUGCGGAUGUGGUCAGCCACCACGCGGUAUGCUGUGUCUGUGCGCCCCUCGUCUGCCACCCCUACUCGGCCCAAGUAAGGGGGUGCCCUGCAGCCCUGGGAAGCAGAAGAGUCAGCCAGUGGCCCUGCCUGACCUGGCCCAGUAGAGACAGGAUUUUGCCAUGUUGGCCAGGCUGGUCUCCAACUCCUGACCUCAAGCGAUCCACCUCCCUCUGCCUCCCCAAGUGCUGGGAUUACAGGAGUGAGCCACCGUGCCCAGCCCUGAGAACUCUUCUCACCACUCUGAGAAUCAAGGCCCCACUUUGGACUUCGAGGCCCACAAGACUGGAUUCUGCCUUCUCUGUGAGACUGUUCGCAAAAAUGGCCCUUUCCUAGGCAUAUGCCACUUUAAAAUGGGACUUUACAGCUGUUUCCCAUCAAGGGACAGAAUCCAUUUCUCCAUCCCCUGAAUCUCUGCUGGCUUUGUGACUUGCUUUGGCCCACAGAAUACAGUGGAAACAACACUG